RNAcentral lists this ribosomal RNA (855 nucleotides) under uncultured microorganism. RNAcentral describes it as "bacterial SSU rRNA". It matches the Rfam family "Bacterial small subunit ribosomal RNA", at positions 527 to 1382 of the family's 1533-position model. The record is from RNAcentral.
GUAGGGGGCAAGCGUUGUCCGGAUUCACUGGGCGUAAAGCGCGCGCAGGCGGUGAUGUAAGUCUGAGGUGAAAACCCGAAGCUCAACUUCGGGACUGCCUUGGAUACUGCGUCACUUGAGGAUAGGAGAGGCAAGGGGAAUUCCACGUGUAGCGGUGAAAUGCGUAGAGAUGUGGAGGAACACCUGUGGCGAAGGCGCCUUGCUGGCCUAUUUCUGACGCUGAGGCGCGAAAGCGUGGGGAGCAAACAGGAUUAGAUACCCUGGUAGUCCACGCUGUAAACGAUGAGUGCUAGGUGUAGGUGGGCUCAUACCCAUCUGUGCCGAAGCUAACGCAUUAAGCACUCCGCCUGGGGAGUACGGUCGCAAGACUGAAACUCAAAGGAAUUGACGGGUGCCCGCACAAGCAGUGGAGCAUGUGGUUUAAUUCGAAGCAACGCGAAGAACCUUACCAGGACUUGACAUCCCAUAGACCAGUCUAGAGAUAGACUUUCCCUUCGGGGCUGUGGUGACAGGUGGUGCAUGGUUGUCGUCAGCUCGUGUCGUGAGAUGUUGGGUUAAGUCCCGCAACGAGCGCAACCCUUACUUUGUGUUGCCAGCAUUCAGUUGGGCACUCACAAGGGACUGCCGCCGAUAAGGCGGAGGAAGGUGGGGAUGACGUCAAAUCAUCAUGCCCCUUAUGUCCUGGGCUACACACGUGCUACAAUGGGCGGUACAACGGGAUGCGAAGCCGCGAGGUGGAGCCAAACCCUGAAAACCGUUCGUAGUUCGGAUUGUAGGCUGCAACUCGCCUACAUGAAGCCGGAAUUGCUAGUAAUCGCGGAUCAGCAUGCCGCGGUGAAUCCGUUCCCGGGCCUU